GUAGCCUACGGGACGCAGCAGUGAGGAAUAUUGGUCAAUGGACGAGAGUCUGAACCAGCCAAGUAGCGUGAAGGAUGACUGCCCUAUGGGUUGUAAACCUCUUUUGUCGGGGAGCAAAGAGAGUCACGUGUGACUCAUUGAGAGUACCCGAAGAAAAAGCAUCGGCUAACUCCGUGCCAGCAGCCGCGGUAAUACGGAGGAUGCGAGCGUUAUCCGGAUUUAUUGGGUUUAAAGGGUGCGCAGGCGGUCUGUUAAGUCAGCGGUCAAAGCCCGGGGCUCAACCCCGGCCCGCCGUUGAAACUGGG
This 305-nucleotide ribosomal RNA is filed under the name uncultured bacterium. RNAcentral's name for it is "bacterial SSU rRNA". It matches the Rfam family "Bacterial small subunit ribosomal RNA", at positions 334 to 637 of the family's 1533-position model. The record is from RNAcentral.